UACGGAAGGCAGCAGUGGGGAAUAUUGCACAAUGGGCGAAAGCCUGAUGCAGCUAUGCCGCGUGUAUGAAGAAGGCCUUAGGGUUGUAAAGUACUUUCAUCGGGGAGGAAAAAACAAAACUAAUAAUUUUAUUUCUUGACGUUACCCGAAAAAGAAGCACCGGCUAACUCCGUGCCAGCAGCCGCGGUAAUACGGAGGGUGCUAGCGUUAAUCAGAAUUACUGGGCGUAAAGAGCACGUAGGUGGUUUUUUUAAGUCAGAUGUGAAAUCCCUGGGCUUAACCUAGGAACUGCAUUUUGAAACUGAAAUACUAGAGUAUCGUAGAGGGAGGUAGAAUUCUAGGUGUAGCGGUUGAAAUGCGUAGAUAUCUGGAGGAAUACCUGUGGCGAAAGCGGCCUCCUAAACGAAUACUGACACUGAGGUGCGAAAGCGUGGGGAGCAAACAGGGAUUAGAUACC
RNAcentral lists this ribosomal RNA (457 nucleotides) under uncultured bacterium. RNAcentral's name for it is "bacterial SSU rRNA". It matches the Rfam family "Bacterial small subunit ribosomal RNA", at positions 340 to 786 of the family's 1533-position model. The record is from RNAcentral.